AGUCAGGCGAACAUAAAUGCAUCAGUCCAGAUUGUCUAUUGGCAUUUAACUCACCAUUUAAUCUUCGACGGCAUAAUUAUGUUCAUCAUACAAGUUCUGGCAGCAAAGAAUUGGUCUGUCUUUUUUUCCUUUUCUUUCCCAUCUAUUUAUUGUUUUUAUAUAUUUACUUGUGUGUCAAACUCCGCACAGUUAACCCCUAUUUGCCAAUGUUCUGCAGGACAUUUUGCAACACAGAACUGAAUUUAGUAAUUGUUGGGAUAGUGUAAGUUAUUUUGAACAAAUUAUUUAUGCUUGUUUUCAUAGUUUGCUCACGCAUUGUAAAUUAGGUUUAGAUAUAAUAACUCUUUUCUUCCUUAUGCUGUUCAGCUCUCAUCUGAAGAGUCUGGGGAGAUAUUGUCUUUAAAGGAUAUGAAAUUUAAGGUAUUUUACUCAACAUGACCAGUAACUACACGCCAUUUUGUAAGAAAGUUAUCUGAAAUUGAAAUAUAUUUUCAGAAUCUUGAGGGAAAACUCAUUGUGCGAAUAUUAGAACAGCGAUCUUCUGAAAGUGACAGUGUUGCUAUGACGUUGUUGGUAUGCUAUUUUGCAUGACUUCUAUACCAUGUUCUGUAAGUAUGAAAUCAGUAAAUAGUUUUUAUUCCUUUUUUUGUGUUC
This 654-nucleotide long non-coding RNA is filed under the name Triticum aestivum (bread wheat). RNAcentral's name for it is "long non-coding RNA (TAES_LNC006619)". Lineage: Eukaryota; Viridiplantae; Streptophyta; Magnoliopsida; Poales; Poaceae. The record is from RNAcentral.